GCGACUCGUAAACCCACCCGAGGGAGCUGAGGGAGGGCGACAUCUGUCGCUUGCCCCAGCCUCCUUGGGCACCUAUGGCCGCCCCCGUCCUGCCUCGUUGCAGAAUGGGCGGCGGGAACAAUACCCGGCGCGGUGGGCGCCAAGGACGAGUGCUUUAGAGGACCACCGUGUGCUGCAUCGCCCAGCGAGGCGGCGCACGACGUGGUCCGGUAAUUAUACCAUGAACUUUACGACUCUUGGCAACGGAUAUCUUGGCUCUCGCAUCGAUGAAGAACGUAGCGAAAUGCGAUACUUGGUGUGAAUUGCAGAAUCCCGUGAACCAUCGAGUUUUUGAACGCAAGUUGCGCCCGAGGCCAUUUGGCCGAGGGCACGCCUGCCUGGGCGUCAUGCCUCACAUCGCUCCGUGCCCCCCACCUCCCACGGCCAUAGCAUUGGGAAGCGGCGGCGCGGAUGCGGAGAUUGACCUCCCGUGCCUUGCGGCGCGGCGGGUUGAAAUGAUGGUCGCUGGUCGGGUCAGACACGGCGAAUGGUGGACGGACACAAAGGACGCUGAACGUUGUGUACUCGACCCUAAGCCAAAGCGGCACGUUCAAGGAGCCCAUGCCGACGGACGCUCAUGAGCGCCCUCGGACCACGACCCCAGGUCAGGCGGGGCCACCCGCUGAGUUAAGGCAUAUCAAAAUGGGGGGGGAAAGAAAAUUUGGGAAAACCUUCCCCU
Molecule: ribosomal RNA, 718 nt
Filed under: Asparagus africanus
Lineage: Eukaryota; Viridiplantae; Streptophyta; Magnoliopsida; Asparagales; Asparagaceae
Description: eukaryotic LSU rRNA
Rfam family: 5.8S ribosomal RNA (bases 232-387)
Source: RNAcentral